AGCUCCAAUAGCGUAUAUUUUAGUUGUUGCAGUUAAAAAGCUCGUAGCCGUAUUUCUGGUGGGAGAAUGCAGUCCGACUUUAUGUCGGUACUCGCAUCCUCCGGCCAUCCUUGGGUCUAGCCAGUUUGGCAUUAAGUUGUCGAGCUGGGGAUGCCCAUCGUUUACUGUGAAAAAAUUAGAGUGUUCAAAGCAGACUUAUGUCGUUGAAUAUAUUAGCAUGGAAUAAUAAAAUAGGACAUCAGUGCUAUUUUGGUGGUUUGCGCACCGAUGUAAUGAUAAAUAGGAACAGUUGGGGCUAUUCGUAUUCAUUUGUAAGAGGUGAAAUUCUUAGAUUAAAGGAAGACGAACUACUGCGAAAGCAUUUAGCAGGGAUGUUUUCA
RNAcentral lists this ribosomal RNA (380 nucleotides) under uncultured marine Chaetocerotaceae. RNAcentral's name for it is "SSU rRNA". It matches the Rfam family "Eukaryotic small subunit ribosomal RNA", at positions 587 to 972 of the family's 1831-position model. Lineage: Eukaryota; Bacillariophyta; Thalassiosirophyceae; Chaetocerotales; Chaetocerotaceae. The record is from RNAcentral.